CCUACGGGAGGCAGCAGUGGGGAAUAUUGGACAAUGGGCGAAAGCCUGAUCCAGCCAUGCCGCGUGUGUGAAGAAGGCCUUCGGGUUGUAAAGCACUUUCAGUGGGGAAGAAAGCCUUGGGGCUAAUACCCUCGAGGAAGGACAUCACCCACAGAAGAAGCACCGGCUAACUCCGUGCCAGCAGCCGCGGUAAUACGGAGGGUGCGAGCGUUAAUCGGAAUUACUGGGCGUAAAGCGCGCGUAGGCGGUCUGAUAAGCCGGUUGUGAAAGCCCCGGGCUCAACCUGGGAACGGCAUCCGGAACUGUCAGGCUAGAGUGCAGGAGAGGAAGGUAGAAUUCCCGGUGUAGCGGUGAAAUGCGUAGAGAUCGGGAGGAAUACCAGUGGCGAAGGCGGCCUUCUGGACUGACACUGACGCUGAGGUGCGAAAGCGUGGGUAGCAAACAGGAUUAGAUACCCCUGUCGU
Molecule: ribosomal RNA, 464 nt
Filed under: Vreelandella stevensii
Lineage: Bacteria; Pseudomonadati; Pseudomonadota; Gammaproteobacteria; Oceanospirillales; Halomonadaceae
Description: partial 16S ribosomal RNA
Rfam family: Bacterial small subunit ribosomal RNA
Source: RNAcentral